GAUGAACGCUGGCGGCGUGCCUAAUACAUGCAAGUCGAGCGAACAGACGAGGAGCUUGCUCCUCUGACGUUAGCGGCGGACGGGUGAGUAACACGUGGAUAACCUACCUAUAAGACUGGGAUAACUUCGGGAAACCGGAGCUAAUACCGGAUAAUAUAUUGAACCGCAUGGUUCAAUAGUGAAAGCCGGUUUUGCUGUCACUGCUAGAUGGAUCCGCGCCGCAUUAGCUAGUUGGUAAGGUAACGGCUUACCAAGGCAACGAUGCGUAGCCGACCUGAGAGGGUGAUCGGCCACACUGGAACUGAGACACGGUCCAGACUCCUACGGGAGGCAGCAGUAGGGAAUCUUCCGCAAUGGGCGAAAGCCUGACGGAGCAACGCCGCGUGAGUGAUGAAGGUCUUCGGAUCGUAAAACUCUGUUAUUAGGGAAGACCAAAUGUGUAAGUAACUAUGCACGUCUUGACGGUACCUAAUCAGAAAGCCACGGCUAACUACGUG
Molecule: ribosomal RNA, 497 nt
Filed under: uncultured bacterium
Lineage: Bacteria
Description: partial 16S ribosomal RNA
Rfam family: Bacterial small subunit ribosomal RNA
Source: RNAcentral